GAUGCUUUGAUUCCCAUGUGAGAUUUAGCCCUCCUUGACUGAGCUGGUGGGGACUGGGGGUGGAGCGAGGGCCAGGGAGGGGGGUCGAGGUGGGCGUGGGAGUCCAGCCUACUGACGCUGCCUUGCCCUCCCAGUCGGCCGCCAGAAGAGCCGGCACCUGUUGUGCAAAUUGUCAGACGACAACCACCACCUUAUGGCGCCGAAACGCCAACGGGGACCCUGUCUGCAACGCCUGUGGCCUCUACUACAAGCUGCACAAUGUUAACAGGCCACUGACCAUGAAGAAGGAAGGGAUCCAGACUCGGAACCGGAAGAUGUCCAACAAGUCCAAGAAGAGCAAGAAAGGGGCGGAGUGCUUCGAGGAGCUGUCAAAGUGCAUGCAGGAGAAGUCGUCCCCCUUCAGUGCAGCUGCCCUGGCUGGACACAUGGCACCUGUGGGCCACCUCCCGCCCUUCAGCCACUCCGGACACAUCCUGCCCACUCCGACGCCCAUCCACCCCUCCUCCAGCCUCUCCUUCGGCCACCCCCACCCGUCCAGCAUGGUGACCGCCAUGGGCUAGGGAACAGAUGGACGUCGAGGACCGGGCACUCCCGGGAUGGGUGGACCAAACCCUUAGCAGCCCAGCAUUUCCCGAAGGCCGACACCACUCCUGCCAGCCCGGCUCGGCCCAGCACCCCCUCUCCUGGAGGGCGCCCAGCAGCCUGCCAGCAGUUACUGUGAAUGUUCCCCACCGCUGAGAGGCUGCCUCCGCACCUGACCGCUGCCCAGGUGGGGUUUCCUGCAUGGACAGUUGUUUGGAGAACAACAAGGACAACUUUAUGGAGAGAAAAGGAGGGGAUGGGACAGACGAAGGCAACCAUUUUUAGAAGGAAAAAGGAUUAGGCAAAAAUAAUUUAUUUUGCUCUUGUUUCUAACAAGGACUUGGAGACUUGGUGGUCUGAGCUGUCCCAAGUCCUCCGGUUCUUCCUCGGGAUUGGCGGGUCCACUUGCCAGGGCUCUGGGGGCAGAUUUGUGGGGACCUCAGCCUGCACCCUCUUCUCCUCUGGCUUCCCUCUCUGAAAUAGCCGAACUCCAGGCUGGGCUGAGCCAAAGCCAGAGUGGCCACGGCCCAGGGAGGGUGAGCUGGUGCCUGCUUUGACGGGCCAGGCCCUGGAGGGCAGAGACAAUCACGGGCGGUCCUGCACAGAUUCCCAGGCCAGGGCUGGGUCACAGGAAGGAAACAACAUUUUCUUGAAAGGGGAAACGUCUCCCAGAUCGCUCCCUUGGCUUUGAGGCCGAAGCUGCUGUGACUGUGUCCCCUUACUGAGCGCAAGCCACAGCCUGUCUUGUUUGUCAGGUGGACCCUGUAAAUACACCCUUUUUCUGCUAACCCUUCAACCCCCUCGCCUCCUACUCUGAGACAAAAGAAAAAUAUUAAAAAAAUGCAUAAGCUUAA
RNAcentral lists this small RNA (1436 nucleotides) under Pan troglodytes (chimpanzee). RNAcentral's name for it is "processed transcript". The record is from RNAcentral. Lineage: Eukaryota; Metazoa; Chordata; Mammalia; Primates; Hominidae.